AGUUUUAUAGUGUUGAGAAAUACCAGCUGGCUUUGAGGAAAUACACGCUUAACACUGACUCGUUAGCAAUAACACGCAGUAGUUAAGGUUGGUUGUGUGCUUACCUAACUAUGCAGAUGCAACUAUGCACCACAUGAGAUAGAAAGAUGGUAGUAUCGUAAAGGUGUAUCAAACAUUGCUGCCAAACAUUUUUCGCAGCAGGCGGCGGUGGGUCAGUGUAGUUCAGUGUAGCUUCGUACGUGUGCUACAACCGGUAACAACGCUGCCGCUGCCUACAACCGCUGCAAGAAGCAUGCAUCAAAACAUUCAUUACCGGCUACCAGCGACUGGACCCGACUCAGCAACCUUGAAGACGGCAUGCCUUGCUCCUCGCUCGUUCAUUUGGUUCGGGAACGAGCAUUUGGUCCACGGCGAUAUGUAUCGGUUCAAACAUUGUCAAGGUCAGAAAGGAGUAAAGUAGAGGUCUCCAACUCAUAUUAGCAUGUGCUACAACAGCUAGUCUGCGGGCUGCAGAGGAAAGUUACAGCUAAUCCGCGGGCCGCACCACAUAAAGAAAAUGUUUUUUCAUUAAAUUUUACGCACUUUGAUUUGGUUUGGAUAUGAAAUAAAUCGUAUCGGUCACUUCUGUGCCGGCAGCUGAGCCGACGAGAA
This is a long non-coding RNA of Anopheles bellator, 651 nucleotides long. RefSeq lists it as uncharacterized. NCBI's taxonomy places the organism in Eukaryota, Metazoa, Arthropoda, Insecta, Diptera, Culicidae. The record is from RefSeq and is a predicted model, not a curated record. The transcript has 2 exons.